UGGGAUGUGGCUCAGUGGUGGAGUGGACGCCUGCCAUGUGCAAGGUCCUAGGUUCGACUCCUAGCGCCAUAA
Molecule: transfer RNA, 72 nt
Filed under: Fukomys damarensis (Damara mole-rat)
Lineage: Eukaryota; Metazoa; Chordata; Mammalia; Rodentia; Bathyergidae
Rfam family: tRNA
About the family: Transfer RNA (tRNA) molecules are approximately 80 nucleotides in length. Their secondary structure includes four short double-helical elements and three loops (D, anti-codon, and T loops).
Source: Rfam by way of RNAcentral